CCUACGGGAGGCAGCAGUGGGGAAUAUUGCACAAUGGGGGAAACCCUGAUGCAGCGACGCCGCGUGAGUGAAGAAGUAUUUCGGUAUGUAAAGCUCUAUCAGUAGGGAAGAAAAUGACGGUACCUGUUUAAGAAGCCCCGGCUAACUACGUGCCAGCAGCCGCGGUAAUACGUAGGGGGCAAGCGUUAUCCGGAUUUACUGGGUGUAAAGGGAGCGUAGACGGCAGCACAAGUCUGGAGUGAAAUGCCGGGGCUUAACCCCGGAACUGCUUUGGAAACUGUGCAGCUAGAGUGCAGGAGAGGUAAGUGGAAUUCCUAGUGUAGCGGUGAAAUGCGUAGAUAUUAGGAGGAACACCAGUGGCGAAGGCGGCUUACUGGACUGUAACUGACGUUGAGGCUCGAAAGCGUGGGGAGCAAACAGGAUUAGAUACCCGUGUAGUC
Molecule: ribosomal RNA, 440 nt
Filed under: uncultured bacterium
Lineage: Bacteria
Description: partial 16S ribosomal RNA
Rfam family: Bacterial small subunit ribosomal RNA
Source: RNAcentral